Molecule: long non-coding RNA, 2434 nt
Organism: Panthera uncia (snow leopard)
Lineage: Eukaryota; Metazoa; Chordata; Mammalia; Carnivora; Felidae
Exons: 7
Source: RefSeq, a predicted model, not a curated record
CACGGGCCUCCCGCAGGGCACUUGGGACUUUUGUAGCCCGUGUUUGGCGUCGCUGCGCUUUCGCAGAGCAGCGAGCCUGGCAGGACCCCGUGCCCACAGCCCCCAGAGCCCCUCCCCAUCUGCUCUGCCCGCGCCAGUCCCACCGGAAACAAUGGCAGGGCCAGGAGCCAGCCGAGGGGAACUGGGGCGCAGGGCUGCGCAGGUUACACCGUCCCCGAGCUCCUGGGGGCGCUGUUCGCACAGACUAAGACGUGGACGUCGCCUGGGAGUCUUGCGCCACAGAGGCGUGGACUCCCUGUGACGGGCCCACGGGAAGCUCCACCUAGGACGGUCUGUCGGGGACCCAGACAGCAGCUCCUUUACCCAGAGGACACUUUUUCAGCGAACUCAACCGUGCCAAACACAACCGAACCUGGCCGGAGAGAUCCAUGUCAAGUCCUGGUUAACUUGAAGCGUGUGGUUCAAGAAAGGAGAGGAAACCAGCAGCUGGCGCUGAAGGCUUUCCAGGAGAUCAGAUGGGUCCAAGGGAGGACGUCCCAGGGAACUAGAGUGAGGCUCGUUGGAGGCAUGGAGAUAAUUAGGAACCUUUGAGCAAAUAUGGGGCAUGAUUGAGUUGCAAGAUAAAAGAGUACCUUCAUUUUGGCAAGAUGAUUUAUGAGUAUUCUUGAUACUUACCUCUGCAGACAAGUUGGGGGGGAUAUUGGCCAGAGGAGUCCACACCACGUACAUUGCACACUUAACUGUGCUCUGCAUUGACAUCACAAAGAUGAAUAAAACAUGGUCCUUGUCUUGGAGAAACAGCCUGGAGGCCAUGGUAUCCGAGUUCCCACCAUUAGAGUUACUUUUUAGUUAAACUACUUCAUGAAGCCACCGCUUAAUGGAAGGAGGAAGGAACAAUCUAAUGAUUCCACGAGUGGUUGUCUAGUCUCAGUUGGUUUACAAGAUGAGUUGCGUAGAUCUAGAAGAAACCAGGAACAGAAAUCGUUUGUUGAUUGUUGUGCUCGGGCUCUGGACAAAAGAGAACCGCCGAUUCAAUCUCUGCCUCCUUCACAGCUUGCCAAUCAAAGAGAGGCACAGAAGUAGGACACAGAGAGCAGGAAGAAACAUCUAAACGUGAAUGGCGGUGAGAUAUUUAUAGCGUGUGGCGCUCUGGAAUGCACAGCUGCAACCCGCAGGGAAAUGAGCAGUGGGCAAACCUAUCUGUCAAUCCAGCCUGCACUCGGUCCCUCGCGUUCCGAUGCGCGACGGCCGGGUGCCCAGCCCUGCACGGGGAGUCUUGAGCUUUCGUAGUCACAACAACAACCACAAAAUUCCUAAGGAUCUUGAAGAGGUAAAACCCAGAUUGUAAAGGUCCAAGAGAGACUACGGCACUGGGAGACACAAGCAAUGAUUGUGGACUGCUCCUUGAGAAGUUCUACAACAAAUAGAAGGAGAAAGAUAGUUCAAGUUAAGGUCAGAGCUAAGGGGAAGGCUGCAGUGAUGCCCCAGAAACCUCCUACCUCUGGCAGAGCUGGUUUAAAUUUUCAGAGAUUAUGCGCGCUUCUUGUUCAACUGGCUUGACACACUCCCACGGUGGAUGUGUUUACACUGCAGACAUAGGCAAAUGCUACCGAUCAACCACCUGCCCUCACGCCCAGCCGGUUGUGAAACCCUUCACCUCUGUUAAGAUGGAGAAGGAAAAAAGGAACAAUCCAGCUGAACACAGCCACCAUCACUGGAAUCUGAGGCUAACGUGAAACUUACCUCUGUGGGGACUGUAACCCUAAAACCAGAGCUGAAGUUCCUUUUCUCAAAUAAGAUGUUUGAGGUUUGCUCUUUCCUGAUACUCCUGUGAUACAUUCCUGACCUUUCGGAAUUUUUAUUUAAUUUAAAAGGAGUUACAACAGAAGUACGUCUUAUCCUAAACGUAUUUACCCUUCAUUAUAGGUUUUAUUAAAGUUCUGUGUAGGUACACACACGCAAGGAAAGUUCAAGGAAGGAUGGGAGAGAGAGAGAGAGACAGAAAGACAGAGGGGAGGACGGAGGACGGAAAAGAGCAUGCUUGGCCCGCGCUUGGGUCCCAGAACCAGGUGUGAUUUAAGUGUUCCGUAAUGACCCACUGUCACAUCUCUCAGGGCCCCUGCACUCGCUGUGGAAAACAACAGAAUUUCACAACGUUUCAGGGCCGCUGGUGGGAGAAGGCGACCAGCUGCUUCCUUGCUUAAGACGACAGUCCCACAGGCUCCCUUGCAAAUGUCAGAAAUGUCAGACCUACUCCCAGACAAAUACCUCAGGAAAGACAUUCUCAGGGCAGCUGAGGACACUGGUUCUGUUCCCUCGUAUCAAUAGUGCCUUUGACUAACGCACUUGGCUCUCGGCUGCUGAGACUUCCAGUGGGGAAUGCUUUGCAACUCUAUAUGGUACAUCAUCUGGCCCAUAAAUAAAAACCUGCUUU